This is a long non-coding RNA of Antechinus flavipes (yellow-footed antechinus), 1453 nucleotides long. RefSeq lists it as uncharacterized. NCBI's taxonomy places the organism in Eukaryota, Metazoa, Chordata, Mammalia, Dasyuromorphia, Dasyuridae. The transcript has 4 exons. The record is from RefSeq and is a predicted model, not a curated record.
AAGGUAGGGACUUUGUAAAGUCUGACAGUGGAUUAGUCCUUGAGUUGAAAUCAAAGGAAGAGAACAUUUUAUGUUCAAUUAGUUAGGGGGCAAUUUUGUAUCAUCAUUCCGCUUAAUGAUCCCAGACACCAUCAUCUCUUUCCUAAUUUGUCUUUGGCCACAAAAUAACAGGUCCAAACCAAAGUGACCCAGGAGGAGUUAUUCGCUUUAUAAUGAAAAUUGCCUCAUCAUCUGCUUCUGUGUCACAGUGAGGAGAGUGCUACUGCGGCUCUGCAUAGAGCCAUAAUGCUGGCUGUGUUUUAUCAGUUCUGUCCAGGCAUUUGCAUGUGAUGAAGCUGGGAAGGGGCUUGCUGCUUUUGAAGACUGGCUCUUAAAGGGCUCAUACAUCAUAGCAGUAAAGAACAUCAUCACAAUGGUGGCCAUUCGGCUGCUCUCUUAGCCACCUUGACAGAGCCAGAGCUAUUCUUCUGCUUUUAAGCUGCCUUUCCUCCUAGGGUCAUCUGGUUACAUCACUAGACCAGUUAAGGAGCACUGGCAUCAUCAAGCUGCUCCAGGAGAUCAUGUCACAUUAAAAAGGGUUAAGAAUCCCUCAUUUAGAAGCUUGCACUUGGAUUGAACCUUGAAAGAGACCAGAGAGUUCAAGAGGCAGGAAUGAGGACGAAGUACAUUUCAGCAAUACUAGAGAACCAGUACAGAGGUGCAGAGGUGGGAGAUUAAAUGAUCUGUGUGAGAAACAGCCAAAAAGCUGUGUAGCUGGAUUGUAGCAUCCAGCAAGGGGAAGACUGAAGAGUAAGUUUGGAAAGGUGGUAAUCAUUUGCAAAAAACCUUUUCUUUAGUGGAAGAAAUAUCUCAGAAGUAAUUGAGCUAUGCACUUUUAGAGCAUGGGUGGCAGCAGGUCUUGAAUGCAGGGCAAAGGACUUGGGGACAAAGAAAUUCAAGUGAGGUUUGAAAAUGAGGAACAAGGAAUAAAAGAAGGUUGUGAGUCAAAACAAAGUGGAAAAGCCAGAGUCAGAGCAAAGGCGAGUGGAUAUGAUCAGAGCAAAGAGAGGGUCAGAAGCCAAGAGAUCAAGAGAGGGAAGAGUGAGUCAGAAAAUCUAAAGUCCAGACACAGGAAUCAAGAAAUUUUAGAGGAGUUGAAGAGCUCUUGAACCCUCACGAUUAAAAGCAGCUUUUCUAGGUUGCUAAGAACUGCAAAAUUUCGCUGUGUGCAGAAGAGGGCAGCAGUGGGCUGAAUACAUUGUUAAGUAAAGUUUUUCUGCAAUGCUGAGAAGUUCAACUUACCAGACAAUUCAUAAAAACAAGUGAUGUAUUGGAGGCCUUGUAAAAGGUGGGAGUAUGGACACUGAAGACUGGAUAAAUAUCAUGGAUGAGAACUUAGCUAGGACAAAGACUGGGAGUUAAAGAACUAGGUAGGGUAAAUACAGAAUUAAUAAAUGUCAUUGGAUGAUCUUUA